Molecule: ribosomal RNA, 458 nt
Filed under: uncultured microorganism
Description: bacterial SSU rRNA
Rfam family: Bacterial small subunit ribosomal RNA
Source: RNAcentral
GAGUUUGAUCGUGGCUCAGAACGAACGCUGGCGGCAUGACUAACACAUGCAAGUCGAACGAACCCUUCGGAGUUAGUGGCGCACGGGUGCGUAACGCGUGGGAAUCUGCCCUUGGGUACGGAAUAACUCAGAGAAAUUUGUGCUAAUACCGUAUAAUGACUUCGGUCCAAAGAUUUAUCGCCCAAGGAUGAGCCCGCGUAAGAUUAGCUAGUUGGUGGGGUAAAGGCCUACCAAGGCUACGAUCUUUAGCUGGUCUGAGAGGAUGAUCAGCCACACUGGGACUGAGACACGGCCCAGACUCCUACGGGAGGCAGCAGUGGGGAAUAUUGGACAAUGGGCGAAAGCCUGAUCCAGCAAUGCCGCGUGAGUGAUGAAGGCCUUAGGGUUGUAAAGCUCUUUACCCGGGAUGAUAAUGACAGUACCGGGUAGAAUAAAGCUCCGGCUAACUCCGUGCCAGC